This 1324-nucleotide ribosomal RNA is filed under the name uncultured bacterium. RNAcentral's name for it is "partial 16S ribosomal RNA". It matches the Rfam family "Bacterial small subunit ribosomal RNA", at positions 28 to 1323 of the family's 1533-position model. The record is from RNAcentral.
GACGAACAACUGGUUGCCCUGCCUAAUACCUGAUCGGAGAACGCUGAAGACAGCAACUUGCUCUUCUUGAAUGACUUACCCACGGCCGAACAACGCGCAGGUAACCUGCCUUGUCUCGGGGGAUAACUAUUGCAAACGAUAGCUCAUACCGCAGAACCAUGGAUGACACCUGGCAUUUAUUUGAAAGGAGCAAUUGCUCCCCUACCCGACGGACCUGCAUUGGAUCACCUAGGAUGCGAGGGAACCGCCUCCCUAGGCGACGAGACAUAUCCGACCUGAGAGGGUGCAUCGGCCACACUGUGAACUGAGACUCUGACCACACUCCUAGAGGAGGACGCUGCACGGAAUCUGCAGCAACGGGGGCGAACCCUUACCUAUCUACGGCCGAGCGAGUGAAUAACGUACCCGGAUCAGGAAGCUCUGGUGGCAGCCAAGAACUACUGAUACAGCGCAAAGUGCGCACUGCCACGGCAACUUACCAGAGAGGGACCGCUGACUACGUGCUCCCCACCGCGGGAACACAUAGCUCCCGAUCCUGGUCCGAAUGUAUAGACCGUACCCACAGCUCACGCCCAUUGAUAACUCUGAGGACUACCGCUGUGGCUCAACCAUAGUUUGCUUUGGAAACUGUCAAACUUGAGUGCAGAAGUGGAGAGUGGAAUUUCAUGUGUAGCGGUGAAAUGCGUAGAUAUAUGGAGGAACACUGGUGGCGAAAGCGGCUCUCUGGUCUGUAACUGACGUUGAGGCUCGAAAGCGUGGGGGGCGAACAGGAUUAGAUACCCUGGUAGUCCACGCCGUAAACGAUGAGUGCUAGGUGUUGCAUCCUUUCCGAGAUUCAGUGCCGCAGCUAAUCGCAUUAAGCACUCCGCCUGGGGAGUACGACCGCAAGGUUGAAACUCAAAGGAAUGGACGGGGGUUCGCACAAGCGGUGGAGCAUGUGGUUUAAUUUGAAGCAACGCGAAGAGACCUUACCAGGUCUAGACAUUCCGUUGCUAUUUCUAGAGAUAGAAAGUUAGUUCGGUACAUCGGUGACAGGUGGUGCAUGGUUGUCGUCAGCUCGUGUCGUGAGAUGUUGGGUUAAGUCCCGCAACGAGCGCAACCCCUAUUGUUAUGUUGCCAUCAUUCAGUUGGGCAGUCCAUUGAGCCUCCCGGCAAUAAACAGGAGGAAGGUGGGGAUGACGUCAAAUCAUCAUGCCCCUUAUGACUUGGCAUACACAUGUGAUACAAUAGUGUAUGGUACAAUGAGUCUGGGAGUAUGUGACGGCAAGGUAAUGUUUUAAAACCAAUUUCAGUUCGGAUUGUAGGUUGCAACUCCCCCACAAGA